This is a non-coding RNA of Potamilus streckersoni, 69 nucleotides long. The record is from the annotation of a GenBank genome assembly. Lineage: Eukaryota; Metazoa; Mollusca; Bivalvia; Unionida; Unionidae.
UAUGGCCUAGUGGUUAGAGCGUCUGCCUCAGAUGCGGGAGGUCGUGGGUUUGAAACUCGACCGAGUCAU